AGUUCUCAGAGACUAUAAGAGCUAGAGCCACCAAAUGUUUACAACAGUCCUCUGCUGUAUGCCCACACGGAAACCAGUGUAUUUCAAAAUUUGAAAAAAACCACUGUCUUACUGAGUGCCGGGUAUAAAAGUUUUGACGCUUAAGAAGUGUCUAACACGUUUCUACUCGUUUGAUUUCUCUUCAAAAUUGUGAAUAAACCAGAUUUUCGCAGGUUGCCCUUACAUAUGUACAUCCACUUUUGUUUCUAUGGUAUUUGAGCUUGAGCUCUUCGAGUACCGGGUAUACAAAAUUACAAAGUAUAAUAGAAAUUUAGAAAUGUAAAAUGUUCCUAAAUCAGUCAGUACUUUUUUGCAGUCCAACGAUCCAAAGGUAAUUGAAUAUUAAUGCUACUUAAAAUUCCAUCCAUAUCUUAGCUUAGGGAGCAGCUUAAAAUUUUAAUUAUAUGAUUUUUUCUAGCUUGCCGUGAAUGCUCACUUGCAGCUGUCCAAUUAGAUGAUCUGUAAGGUAUCUUUAAGGUAUCGUUAAGCUAUCGGUUUCUUGAUUACCACAUUAACAUUAAUGAAUAUUUAAUAAUGGAAUGAUCCAUAGAGUUUGUAGUUCAUCUCUGGAGAUAAUUUCUUUCCCAAAUGUGUGAUCACCAAAAGGAAAAUAAACGCAG
Molecule: long non-coding RNA, 659 nt
Filed under: Drosophila guanche
Lineage: Eukaryota; Metazoa; Arthropoda; Insecta; Diptera; Drosophilidae
Source: RNAcentral